AUGGAGGGGUGGUUGACCUUGAGUUUGAUAGCACUAGCCACGCUACUGGCCCUUUGGUUUUUCAAGCUCUCCGGUGGUAAGAAGCAGCGGCUGCCUCCAGGGCCAUGGAGACUCCCGAUCAUCGGCAGCCUCCACCACGUCGUCAGCGCCCUCCCGCACCGCACCAUGACAGAGCUGUGUCGCCGGCACGGACCCAUGAUGUACCUGCAGCUAGGCGAGGUCCCCACUGUGGUGGUUUCCAGCGCCGAGGCGGUCGGGCAGAUGAUGAAGGCCAGCGACCUCCUGUUCGCGAACCGGCGGACCACCGUGAUGCAGGACGUCGUCGGCUAUGGUGGCAUGGGCAUCAGCUUCGCCCCCUACGGUGACCACUGGCGCCGAAUGCGCAAGGUGUGCGCCACGGAGCUCCUCAGUUCUAAGCAGGUCAGGCGCAUGGAGAGUGUCAGGUCUGAGGAGAUGGGCAGCCUCCUCCGCUCCAUGGCGGCAUCACCUGGCGCCACCGUCAACGUCAGCCAGAAGGUGGCGGCGCUGAGCAACGACGUCGUGGCACGGGCGGUCUUCGGCGGCAAGUUCAGCCAGCAGCAGGAUUACAUCCACGCGUCUCACCGGGUCAUGAACCUUCUGGGAGGCUUCUCCCUCGUGGACCUCUUUCCGUCCUCGAGGCUCGUGCGGUGGUUGAGCAGCGAGGAGCGCCGCAUAAAGAGCAGCCUCGACCUCAUGCAGCGCAUCAUCACCGACAUCCUCGUCGAGCGCAAGGCUGUGCGAGCUGCCGGUAACGGCGACGAGGGGCUGCUAGACGUGCUGCUCACAUGCCAGGAGGAGGACUCGCUGGAAUCCCCUCUAACCACAGAGAUGAUAACCACCGUCUUGUUUGACAUUUUUGGAGGCGCUACUGAUACCACUUCAACCACUUUUGAGUGGGCUAUGUCGGAACUCGUCAAUCAUCCAGUAGCCAUGGCUAAGGCACAAUUAGAGGCCCGUAAGGUACUAGGUCCAGGCCGAGCUAUCAUUGUCAGUAGCGAUCUUGCAGAACUCCACUACAUGCGGAUGGUCAUCAAAGAAACAUUAAGAUUGCAUACACCUGUUCCUCUACUCAACCGCAAGAAUGGAGAGGACUGCAAAAUUAUGGGUUAUGAUAUGCUUAAAGGUACCAAUAUUUACAUUAAUGCCUUCGCAAUUUCCAGGGAUCCUCAAUACUGGAACAAUCCUGAAGAGUUUAUUCCAGAGAGAUUUGAAAACAAUAACAUGGAUUAUAACGGGUCAUGCUUCGAAUUCACUCCUUUCGGGUUCGGGCGACGCCUUUGUCCCGGGAUAACAUUCGCCUCAUCAGUUUUAGAGAUGGCAUUGGCUAACUUUCUCUAUCACUUUGACUGGAUGCUUCCUGAUGGGGUCAUCUCGGAGUCGCUGGACAUGUCCGAGAAAUUUGGGUUAAUUGUACGUAGAAGUUCUGACCUGCACCUCAGAGCUAUUCCACACCUAUGCUCGAAAGCUAUGGAGAUUUAA
RNAcentral lists this ribosomal RNA (1500 nucleotides) under Triticum aestivum (bread wheat). Its description in RNAcentral is "partial small subunit ribosomal RNA". Lineage: Eukaryota; Viridiplantae; Streptophyta; Magnoliopsida; Poales; Poaceae. The record is from RNAcentral.